UGGGCUGGUCGAAAGACCCGGGUCCACCAAACGGCGGGUAAGACACCC
Non-coding RNA from Roseburia sp. 831b, 48 nucleotides. NCBI's taxonomy places the organism in Bacteria, Bacillati, Bacillota, Clostridia, Lachnospirales, Lachnospiraceae. The record is from Rfam.